This 407-nucleotide ribosomal RNA is filed under the name uncultured Thecofilosea. Its description in RNAcentral is "partial small subunit ribosomal RNA". It matches the Rfam family "Eukaryotic small subunit ribosomal RNA", at positions 30 to 432 of the family's 1831-position model. Lineage: Eukaryota; Cercozoa; Thecofilosea. The record is from RNAcentral.
GCUUGUCUCAAAGAUUAAGCCAUGCAUGUCUAAGUAUAAGCACCCUUAUACGUCGAAACUGCGUACAGCUCAUUAUAUCAGCAAUUAUUUAUUUGAAGGUCACUAAUUACAUGGAUAACCGUGGUAAUUCUAGAGCUAAUACAUGCGUAAAAUCCCGACUCUCGCGGGGAGGGAUGUAUUUAUUAGAUAAAAAACCAAUGCGGGGCAACCCGGUUUUGUGGUGAAUCAUAGUAACUUUUCGGAUCGCAUAGCUUCACGCUGGCGAUAGUUCAUUCAAAUUUCUGCCCUAUCAGCUUUCGACGGUAGUGUAGUGGACUACCGUGGCGUUAACGGGUGACGGAGAAUUAGGGUUCGAUUCCGGAGAGGGAGCCUGAGAAACGGCUACCACAUCCAAGGAAGGCAGCAGG